RNAcentral lists this unclassified non-coding RNA (203 nucleotides) under Hevea brasiliensis (rubber tree). Lineage: Eukaryota; Viridiplantae; Streptophyta; Magnoliopsida; Malpighiales; Euphorbiaceae. The record is from RNAcentral.
GGACUCUCAGGCUCUGCUCUUGCCGGACCAGAGACAUUGAAGAAGGCGUCUGCUAGAAGAGCGAGACCAGUGGAGUUCAACAGAUUUCUCUUAGUGAUUUUAGUGUGUAAAGGAAUUUUAAGAGAUGGGUUUUCGUUGUUAGCUGUUUUGGAGUGAUGGGUCUUCCUUGAACGGUCCUGAAACUUGCAGACAGGAGAGAGAGA